This 481-nucleotide ribosomal RNA is filed under the name uncultured bacterium. Its description in RNAcentral is "partial 16S ribosomal RNA". It matches the Rfam family "Bacterial small subunit ribosomal RNA", at positions 30 to 507 of the family's 1533-position model. The record is from RNAcentral.
UUGAACGCUGGCGGCAUGCCUUACACAUGCCAGUCGAACGGUAACAGGUCUUCGGAUGCUGACGAGUGGCGAACGGGUGAGUAAUACAUCGGAACGUGCCCGAUCGUGGGGGAUAACGAGGCGAAAGCUUUGCUAAUACCGCAUACGAUCUACGGAUGAAAGCGGGGGAUCUUCGGACCUCGCGCGGACGGAGCGGCCGAUGGCAGAUUAGGUAGUUGGUGGGAUAAAAGCUUACCAAGCCGACGAUCUGUAGCUGGUCUGAGAGGAUGAUCAGCCACACUGGGACUGAGACACGGCCCAGACUCCUACGGGAGGCAGCAGUGGGGAAUUUUGGACAAUGGGCGAAAGCCUGAUCCAGCCAUGCCGCGUGCAGGAUGAAGGCCUUCGGGUUGUAAACUGCUUUUGUACGGAACGAAAAGCCUCUUUCUAAUAAAGAGGGGUCAUGACGGUACCGUAAGAAUAAGCACCGGCUAACUACGUG